UUCAUUCAACACUCAACACUCACUAAGAGCCUGCUAUAUCUUAGGAAUGGUGCUUAGAACACGGGAUGGGGGUGGAGAGAAUGAAGACAUCAAUAGGACACGGCCUCUGUCACCCAGAAGCUCACUGUCUAGUGGACAUAUGGGCAAAUAUCCUAGUCUUUUGUGAUGAUGGAUGGGGCUCUGACUCAGGUCAGAAUGAAGUUCUAGAGGCCUCAGAGGAGGGUGUAACCAACUUCCUGUGGGGUUCUAGGAACAAGUGACCAAGGAGGUGAUCUUUAAAUUAUAACCUGACAGAUGUGCAAUGUUUCUCCAGACAGGUGAGAGGAAACAGGGCCUUCUAGGCCAAGGAGCAGUGCAUUCAAAAGCAGGAAAGGCAAAAGAACAUAGAGCUCAUGGAGACUGAAGUUGGUGCUGUACUGGGGUCAGUGGGGAUGGAAGGGAGAUCAUUGAAUAAGUUGGUUGGGGCAAGACUGGGAAUGUUCUCGACAAGAUGCCAAGGAGUGCGGCCUGUCUGGAAGGUGCCCAUGGUGAGUUCUGGACAGAGUAUAGAGGAUCCGGUUCUCAGAGGGGGCACAGCAAGACUCAUAACCAAAAAUGUCCAUUCUUGUGACAAACACCACGUAGAUCCCCAGAUCUUCAGAUCUUCUGUCCCGUGUCCUUAAAACAAAGGGCAACUGUGUCUGGAUGUUGUGUAAGUUUGGGGUCGUCCCACUACAGACUUUGCAGGUGAAUACCGCUUUGGAUAAGAGGGAGGGUUUGAAUCGUUACAGCACUCAGAAGUGGAAACCAAAGCAUGGUGAAGUGAAGGAACAUGGGUCCCGUUCCGUAGUGCGAGGACCAAGAGAAGAGGUCUCCAGUGGUUGCCCACGGCAUGGUACUUUCUCUCCUUCUGAGAACGACACCAUUACAUAACUGUCUGAGACAGUGCCUCAGACUGCAGAGAUUCCCUUCUGCCCAUCUGCGCCAGGCACACAUAUCCUGGCACGGAAUCAGGAAGAUGGCCACUUUCACAUCAACUGGGCAGCCCCAAUACCUACCUUUCUCCUCUCCACCUCCACUGUGCACCCCCUCUCUGCUACUGGGCAAAGCACGCACGCUCCGAUACUACCUUACACCAGGGAAGUAAUCUCUGGCCUCUGUCUGGUUCUCUGCCCUUAGAGAAUGUCCCAGCCAUCUACCCUUUCUGAGUCCUCAAAGCAUUCUCCCUUCUGCUUCUCCACCAGUGUGGCCUCUUCUGUGAAGUUCUCUAAUCAUGGGCUUCCCCAACACCCACCCUCCCACUAUCAUCUUUACCUCAGAAAAUGAAAUAAAGAAAUUCAAGUGACUCAUCUGUCCACAUAGCUGGAGGGGAGAAGCGGAAAGUGCAGAAGCCAUCACAGAACGAUGCCUAUUUCUGCAGGCCUUUUGACUGCUUCCUAUGAUCCGCUGAGCUUCACGAAAGGGAAGAUAAAAGAAUCGGAGUGGUGCCAUAUUGUCUCCGAAAGCAGCCAGCGUGAACAUGAAGUACCAUUUCCACCUUCCCAAGACGCAGGGUGGCUCCCACCUCACGUGAUCAUACGGGGCUCCGCAGCUGGAUGGGCAGCCUUGGGAGAGAUGCCUACCUGGUCAGCACCACCGAGCCUCAGCCGCUCCCCCUGGCCAGGGGUUCCCCACACCUCAGUGCCACCCUCCCCAAGGCCUGCGACCUAACUCCACGUCAGCCCUCUGGACACACAGUGGUGUCUACUGGGGGCACUCAUCAGGGAGCCAACAGGGGCUGCCUUCUCGGGACGCACAGCCCGCUGGCAGCACUGGGCUUGACAGACCCCAAACUCUGUACUCUUGAGCUGGCUGGAGGCCUGCCAGACCAGUGUGCAUGAUGAGGGAGAGUCAGUCAGAGUCAACCAGAGGGAGACUCAGCUUUAGUCCGCUGUACAUACUGGGCAUCCGCCUGAGACAGCAUUAGGAAAACACAAAACACACAAGACAAAAACACAAAAACACACUGCAAUUACUAACAUAAAUAGGGACUAGCCUUGAAAGCCCCCACUGGUCUAGCCCAGUGUUUCUCAAACUUGAGUGGACCUGAGAUCUCCUAGAGGGCCAGAUAAAACACGAAUGGCUGGGCCCCUCCCCAGGGUUGCUGAUUCAGAAUUUUGGGGUGAGGCUGAUGUUCUGUAUUUCUAACAAACUCUCAGCAACCCUGAUUUUGCUGUUUUGGGGGAUGAACUUUAAGAACCAUGAUCUAGCCCAAAUUUCCCUUUCAGAGCCAAGAGAGGUGAUUCCUCCCAGGUGCCUUAGCCAGUUGGAGAUGAACUAGAGUACUGCCCCAGUCUCUGACAGUCCCCACACUUCCUCUUCCAGGGCUUGUCCAUCACACCCCGCAUCUGCUCUGACACGACAGGGCCCUGGGCAGAGAAGGCCACUUGGAUCUGGGCUCUCGAGCAGCUUUACCCCUAGGACAUGAUCAAAGGAGAGCAUUCCUAACUCAGAGACCAUGCUGAGCCUGCCUGUGUCCCCAGUUUGGGAAAUUGCAUCAUGCCCCCAGCACAUCAGGGUGGUAGCUUCCCCAGAAUGCACUUCUCCGUGCCAUCACUGAGGCUUCCACAAUCACAUUCCUGUAUUCUGUCUCCCAACACAUCCUUACUGAGAGUGGCUGGGUACAAGGCACUAUCCUAACUUCUGAGAUCCAUAGAUUUCUGAGGGAGAGGUUCUUCCCGGCCCUUAAGGACUUCACAGGGAGGAAAACCAAGCCUAAUCAAGUUGUUACCUCGUGAAGGGCAAGAGGGGAGUGGCUCAGGUGAGUAAGGGAGAGGUGUAAGGAGGGUUUCAUCAAGUAAGCAGGCACAUGUUAGCAGACAAGGGAUAUGGGGUAGAGGAGACAUGCUCAAUGCAAGGAUAAAAUAGUAAGAAAUGUUGAUCGAAUAUCUACUGAACAUCAAACGCUUUCCAUACUUCUCUUAUCUUCAGAACCAUCCCUGCAAGAGGUGCCAUUAUAACAUCCUCAUUUAUGGAUCAGAAAACUAAAGCUCAGAGAGGUUAUACAACUUACCCAAAGCCACACAGCUACUCACACUUAGGGUCUCUGACCCCAGAGCCUGAUCUCUUAGGUACUGUGCCAUCUUAUCGCUCUCAGCAAGGAACGGGCAGCUUGCACUGGUCUGGAGGGCCACAGGUUUACCGAAGUCCUGGAUUGAUGUGUGUGUGUGUGGGGGGGGUGUAGUUGGAAAGAUAGGCUGGAGCUUUGUUGAGGGGCUUGACUGCAGGUGGAGUCAUUUGAACCUAACUCAGGAGACUGCCAGGGUCACUGAAGGGUUUAGCAGGAGAGAGACGCAUGGCACAACAGUGUGGUAGGGAAAUCCCUCUGAUAGCAGUGGGCAGAUUGGGUUGGAGAGGGGAGGCCCUGGUGAUCAGAAGAUCACACUGAAGGCCACUGCCGAAUUUCAGAAGCAAGAACAUGGGCACCUGGCUUGGAGCGGGGUGGCAGGCACAGAGGGAGACUCAGGGCAGGUGCUCUUCUCACCACUGUCAUUGCAAAUAUUUCUUGACCCCUGGUGACAUGCUUUACCCAUAUUAACUCAUUUAAUCCUAACAGGAGCUUUUGCAUCAGAUCCCUCUCCUAUGACAUUUCUUGGCCCUCCUAUAUCUCUAUGGAUGCAUCCCCACGCCUGGCAGGGUUCCUGUUUGAGGGAUCAAACCUGAAACUUCUUCCUUGAGUAUAUAGGUAUUAUGGGUUGAGACAAUUUAGGAUCAAGAAAUCAUGAUCAGUCUCAGAACUUUUUAUUCUCUUGAUUUUACAGCCGGGAAAGCUGAGGCCUAGAGAGGACCAUGACCUUGGCUUUGUCCCCUCUAGGACGCGACAGAGGCUGGACCAGAAGCAAGGAAGUCUUCCCUAGAUUUCCACCCUGCUUCGGUUCUCCCGCUUCCUGGGGCCAGACCAGAGGCCUUGCAGCUGUGGUGGGUGCCAGGUGGCAUCUCACUCACCAGGCUGGCGGGCGCCUGAGGACCCUGCGGUCAGCGCCAGUCUGGAAGCCCAUCCCCCACACGGGCACUGCGGGCACAGGGCAGAGGGACUGAGUGAAGGCAGCACGUGUGGUGGAAGGGACAAGAAUGCAGUGACUCAGGCCCACAUUGGAGCAUUGUUCUCAGCUGUCUGGGGGGCAUCCCGGCCUGGACAAGGCAGCUGCUAUCUUCACUUUGUUGGAGAGUCACUCUAGACCCAGGGAGUUGACACCGUAAGAGCAGAGGAGAGCGAGAUGGGCUGCACCCAGGAGACACUGGGUGGAAGAUACGGUGCCCACUGCAGAGUUAGAAAACAGCUCACUUCCCAGCCCUGCUCUGGCCCUUGCCACGGCUGUGAUCUUGAACAUGAUCCCCCCUGAACCUGACGAGCCUCACCCCUCUCAUCUGUUUAUGGGUGCAACGUCUUGGAGAUGUGCCAAGUGGCCAGUAGACUAAUGCAUUAAAAAAAAAAAAAAAAGCUUUUGCAAGCCUAGAGAAUUCUACACAUGUGUUUUAGUCUGUUCAGGCUGCUAUAACAAAAUACCACAGACUGGGGAGCUUAUAAGGAACAAAAUUGUAUUUCUCACAGUUUUGGCAGCUGGGAAGUCCAAGAUCAAAGUACCACCAUGGUCGAGUUCCACUGAGAGCUCACUUUCUGGUUCACAGCUGAUGCCUUCUCGCUGUGUCUUCCCAUGGUGGAAGCCCAAGGUAUCUCCCGGCAGCCUCCUUUGUAAGAUCACUAAGCCCGUUCAUGGGAACUUCUCCCUCAUGACCUAACCACUUCCCAAAGGCCCCAUCUCCCAAGAGCAUCCCCUUGGGGGUUAGGAUUUUGACAUGAAUUUUGAUACUAUUAUCAUUAUUAAUGCUAAGAGUGAUAUCCUUAAACAUUCUUAAAGGAAACAUGGUGACGAAAUGUGAACUUGUCUCCAUGAAGGGUAUGUUGGAAUCCUCUGUACUGUUUUUGUAACCCUUAUGUAAAUUUGAAAUUACUUCAAAAUAAAAUGUUUAAAAAAA
Long non-coding RNA from Ailuropoda melanoleuca (giant panda), 4995 nucleotides. RefSeq lists it as uncharacterized. NCBI's taxonomy places the organism in Eukaryota, Metazoa, Chordata, Mammalia, Carnivora, Ursidae. The record is from RefSeq and is a predicted model, not a curated record. The transcript has 3 exons.